CUCAGAGUGAGGGAGAGAGACUCCUCCAAAGCAGCUUUAUGAAACAAAAGGCCGUCUGAUUAAAUCUCAGGAGCGGCGCCCUGCCCUGUGGCUUGUGUUUGGAUGGCUGUGUGCAAUCAUUACCUCACUGCCAGGUAAGAACUGUCUACAGAUCUGACAGCAUCCAAACCUCCAAAGAGUGAAACAUGAAAUAAAUGCACAACAAUUCCUGCACUGAAACAUAAUGGCAAAAAAAUUUGAAAAAACUAAAGAGCCCAAGAAGGCCCCAAAAAGGAAGCCACCACCAAUGGAAUAUUCAAGUGAUGAGGACCCUGGAUUUCCUGUUGAU
This is a long non-coding RNA of Hyla sarda, 328 nucleotides long. RefSeq lists it as uncharacterized. The record is from RefSeq and is a predicted model, not a curated record. NCBI's taxonomy places the organism in Eukaryota, Metazoa, Chordata, Amphibia, Anura, Hylidae. The transcript has 4 exons.